GAGAAACAGAGAAGAGAAACUUACUUGUGUUUUGUUUUCAUCUUUCUUCCAUUGGUUUAUAUUUUCCCUCCAUUCCACUGUAAAGUGUAGACCAAACAACACUUACAGAUCUCCCCCUUCCCAGGUUUGCCCGUGGCCCGUGACCCGUGCCCCCAUUUCCUGAACCAGCGGGGCGAACACCACUUCCAGGGGCCCCCUCCCCCGCGGGGCGACGCACGGGACUCGAGACCGCUGCUGAAGGCUGGCUGACAGCUGGACUGUCCCGCCACUGUGUGCAGGCUAGUCGGACAGGUGGCCUACCGGGGAGCACACUGUAUCCCCUCCUGCCCUGCAGACACACACAGCUGCUGAACCUCAGCACCCAGGAGGACACAGCCGCUGCCUCCCCUGCCAAGCGCCGCAUGGCCAUGCUCAGCGCGCCACGCCUGGAAGAAGAAGCAACAGUGACACCAAGAUGAAGGCCGUUCCCACUCCCUCGACAAGCCUGAGUGUCUAUAAGCAGGGAAACUAAAAGCGUCUUGAUAAUUCUCUGGAACAAGUUAUUUGAUUUCUGUAGAGCAUUCUGUCCCUCAGGUGUACACCAGACUCCAAUAAACAUCCUGUUGGGGAAA
Eriocheir sinensis (Chinese mitten crab) is the source of this 611-nucleotide long non-coding RNA. RefSeq lists it as uncharacterized. The record is from RefSeq and is a predicted model, not a curated record. The transcript has 2 exons. Lineage: Eukaryota; Metazoa; Arthropoda; Malacostraca; Decapoda; Varunidae.